Non-coding RNA from Dermacentor albipictus, 359 nucleotides. Lineage: Eukaryota; Metazoa; Arthropoda; Arachnida; Ixodida; Ixodidae. The record is from RefSeq and is a predicted model, not a curated record.
CGUGACUACGUGUAAAGACUUCCCCGACAUAGAGGUCACCGAUGAAGCAACAAUUCCAGACCACGUUUGAACCUAUUUGCUACGCUGGGAGUGCGUCAACAGCAACGUCGAUUACUUCCAGUGGUUGUACUACCCAGUGGCACAUACCCAGUGACGCGAGUUGGUGUCAAAGAGGUUCACCUAAUACCAAAACCUGCCCAGUGGCACAUAUCUAGUGACCCAAGUUAGCGUGAAAGAGGGUCGUUGAAUAGCGGCACCUACAGAGUGCCACAUACCGGGUGGCGCAAGUUAGUCCCACGGCUGGUUCAGAAGCCGGUUCCUUCACCACCGCAGCCCAAUGCUCUACCAAUCAUACCAUG